This 511-nucleotide ribosomal RNA is filed under the name uncultured bacterium. RNAcentral describes it as "bacterial SSU rRNA". It matches the Rfam family "Bacterial small subunit ribosomal RNA", at positions 29 to 573 of the family's 1533-position model. The record is from RNAcentral.
AAACACGCUGGCGGCGUGCCUAACACAUGCAAGUCGCACGAGAAAGUGGAGCAAUCCAUGAGUAAAGUGGCGAACGGGUGAGUAACACGUGACUACCUGCCCUCGAGUGGGGAAUAACCUCGGGAAACCGGGGCUAAUACCGCAUAACAUCGAGAGAUCAAAGCAGCAAUGCGCUUGAGGAGGGGGUCGCGUCUGAUUAGCUAGUUGGUAGGGUAACGGCCUACCAAGGCGAUGAUCAGUAGCCGGCCUGAGAGGGCGCACGGCCACACUGGAACUGAAACACGGUCCAGACUCCUACGGGAGGCAGCAGUGGGGAAUUUUGCGCAAUGGGGGAAACCCUGACGCAGCAACGCCGCGUGGAGGAUGAAGUCCCUUGGGACGUAAACUCCUUUCGAUCGGGACGAUUAUGACGGUACCGGAAGAAGAAGCCCCGGCUAACUUCGUGCCAGCAGCCGCGGUAAUACGAGGGGGGCAAGCGUUGUUCGGAAUUAUUGGGCGUAAAGGGCGCGUA